RNAcentral lists this unclassified non-coding RNA (290 nucleotides) under uncultured fungus. Its description in RNAcentral is "partial contains 5.8S rRNA, ITS2 and 28S rRNA". It matches the Rfam family "Eukaryotic large subunit ribosomal RNA", at positions 668 to 961 of the family's 3401-position model. Lineage: Eukaryota; Fungi. The record is from RNAcentral.
AAGGAGUCUAACAUAUAUGCAAGUAUUUGGGUGGUAAACCCUUAUGCGUAGUGAAAGCGAAAAGGUGGGAUCCUUUAUUGGUGCACCAUCGGCCGCGCCAGAUUAUUACUAUCUCGGCGUGAGUAUGAGCAUACAUGCUGGGACCCGAAAGAUGGUGAACUAUGCCUGAAUAGGGUGAAGCCAGAGGAAACUCUGGUGGAGGCUCGUAGCGGUUCUGACGUGCAAAUCGAUCGUCAAAUUUGGGUAUAGGGGCGAAAGACUAAUCGAACCAUCUAGUAGCUGGUUCCCUC